Molecule: ribosomal RNA, 232 nt
Filed under: uncultured bacterium
Lineage: Bacteria
Description: partial 16S ribosomal RNA
Rfam family: Bacterial small subunit ribosomal RNA
Source: RNAcentral
ACGGGUGAGUAACGCGUAUCCAACCUGCCGUCUACUCUUGGACAGCCUUCUGAAAGGAAGAUUAAUACAAGAUGGCAUCAUGAGUCCGCAUGUUCACAUGAUUAAAGGUAUUCCGGUAGACGAUGGGGAUGCGUUCCAUUAGAUAGUAGGCGGGGUAACGGCCCACCUAGUCUUCGAUGGAUAGGGGUUCUGAGAGGAAGGUCCCCCACAUUGGAACUGAGACACGGUCCAA